GUGCAUAUCACUAUUGGGAUCCGAUUUAGCCAUGCUAGUUGCACGAGUUCAGACUCGUAGCGAAUAGCUCAGUAACACGUGGCCAAACUACCCUUCGGAGCACCAUACCCUCGGGAAACUGAGGCUAAUAGUGCAUCUCACACUCACCCUGGAAUGGCGAGUGUGUCAAACGCUCCGGCGCCGAAGGAUGUGGCUGCGGCCGAUUAGGUAGACGGUGGGGUAACGGCCCACCGUGCCGAUAAUCGGUACGGGUCAUGAGAGUGAGAACCCGGAGACGGAAUCUGAGACAAGAUUCCGGGCCCUACGGGGCGCAGCAGGCGCGAAACCUUUACACUGCACGACAGUGCGAUAAGGGGAUCCCAAGUGCGUAGGCAUAGAGCCUACGCUUUUGUACACCCUAGGGAGGUGUCCGAAUAAGGGCUGGGCAAGACCGGUGCCAGCCGCCGCGGUAAUACCGGCAGCCCGAGUGAUGGCCGAUCUUAUUGGGCCUAAAGCGUCCGUAGCUGGCCGUGAAAGUCCAUCGGGAAAUCCACCCGCUCAACGGGUGGACGUCCGGUGGAAACUUCACGGCUUGGGACCGGAAGGCGCGACGGGUACGUCCGGGGUAGGAGUGAAAUCCCGUAAUCCUGGACGGACCGCCGAUGGCGAAAGCACGUCGCGAGAACGGAUCCGACAGUGAGGGACGAAAGCUAGGGUCUCG
This 700-nucleotide ribosomal RNA is filed under the name uncultured haloarchaeon. RNAcentral describes it as "bacterial SSU rRNA". It matches the Rfam family "Archaeal small subunit ribosomal RNA", at positions 20 to 721 of the family's 1478-position model. The record is from RNAcentral. Lineage: Archaea; Methanobacteriati; Methanobacteriota; Halobacteria; Halobacteriales; Halobacteriaceae.